Molecule: long non-coding RNA, 1425 nt
Filed under: Helianthus annuus (common sunflower)
Lineage: Eukaryota; Viridiplantae; Streptophyta; Magnoliopsida; Asterales; Asteraceae
Source: RNAcentral
CCGCUCCACCUUUCUCUACAAACCCUAGAUCCUCCACCGCACGUCCACCUUUCAUCCAUGGAACCGGUCGUUGCCAUCACCGUCUUCUCCCCUUUCAUCCAUGGAACCGUUGAAGACGAAGACCGAUGAACAGGUGAAAGAGAGAACACUGCGGCUUGGUUCAAGAACCUUCAAAUUCAGCCUUAGUGCCAAAACCAAGGGAUAUGCCCAGUGAGGUUCUAGAAGAGGAGGGUUGGGCUCUUGUGUAUGACAAAUCUAGAUAAACUGAGCGGGCCUAAACUACUGAAUAUGUCGGAACCAUCGCAGCUUAUGACUGAAGACACACGGGCUGCUCUUUAUGUUGCACUCCCGGUUCUUAGUCGAGGAAAGAAAUGGGUCCUGCUGUACAGUACAUGGAGGCAUGGUAUAUCUUUGUCAACUUUGUAUAGAAGAAGUAAUCUUUCCCCCGGGCUAAGUCUGUUGGUUGUCGGAGAUCAUAAAGAGGCGGUGUUUGGUGGUUUAGUUGAGGCACCCUUGAAACCGUCAACUAAGAAAAGAUAUUAGGGAUCAAAUGAUACAUUUGUUUUCACAAAUACCCCUGGUUGUCCUGUUAUAUUUCGUCCAACAGAUACACACGCACAGAUUCGCAUGCUUCCUUGCUGACAUGAAGAGAAAGAAAAAACGGCCCACAACGGCUCAGGUGGUAGUACAACUUCAAAAGGCUUGAAAUUUCAAUGGUUUUUAAUCGGUGAUAAUGGAGAAAGAAAUGAUUUCCGGUGGCCGAUGAUAGCUUUACGCGCAACUUUCAGAGGUUAAUUAGGCACUUUUGUGAGCAUCAUGUUGGCUGGAGACAGUUAAUUUCAACAGCUGCAGGAAGAUACGACAGUUAAAAAAGAGCCUGCUGAGUGAAGUGUUAAGGGAAGAGCUUAUUGGAAAAGAGUUAAAAAGGUAUGGUUGGCUGUUUGACCAAACACGUCGACUUUGACCAAAUCCGGGAAAACCUUGAAGACCCAGCAAGUCUAUUUUGCUUUUAGCAAUUAUAUGUUGCACACCCAGCAAGUGUAUUUUGCUUUUAGCAGUUAUAUGUUGCAUUUUGAUAUACAUAAAGAUUGUAUUGAUGUAUUGCUCAUUUGGGUUGACUAUAAGCACAAAAGAGUUUGGACGGUUUGUGGUUUAAGAAUCUUAGGGUGGAAGGGGUACUCCCCAUAUCCUUUUUUGAGGAUUCUCAGUACCGGUAUUUUUGGUACCGAUUGGUACCAAGCUCAUCCCUACGAGAAAUUCUAACAUGUGUGUAGGACAACAUUUUACUUUAAUAGUUGCGCGGCAUAUACAUAAGACCCCGAAGGCCAAAACAAUCAUUAAUUGUGCAUAGAUUUUGCCAUUGUCAUUUUGAUACUAGAUAACAAAAUAAAUUUGUAUAAAAAUUAUUUAUCUCAAAGUAAAACG